UACGUAGGUGGCAAGCGUUAUCCGGAUUUAUUGGGUGUAAAGGGCGUGUAGGCGGGAAUGCAAGUCAGAUGUGAAAACUAUGGGCUCAACCCAUAGCCUGCAUUUGAAACUGAGUAGCUAGAGUGCAGGAGAGGUAAGCGGAAUUCCUAGUGUAGCGGUGAAAUGCGUAGAUAUUAGGAGGAACACCAGUGGCGAAGGCGGCUUACUGGACUGUAACUGACGUUGAGGCUCGAAAGCGUGGGGAGCAAACAGG
RNAcentral lists this ribosomal RNA (253 nucleotides) under uncultured Lachnospiraceae bacterium. RNAcentral describes it as "partial 16S ribosomal RNA". It matches the Rfam family "Bacterial small subunit ribosomal RNA", at positions 524 to 776 of the family's 1533-position model. Lineage: Bacteria; Bacillati; Bacillota; Clostridia; Lachnospirales; Lachnospiraceae. The record is from RNAcentral.